AUUUAAUUCCAAUUCCUUAAUUCCUUAAAACCUAAAAAAACAAUUGUAGAAACAAACUGAAGGAAAAGCGAAUGGACAUUGCUUAUCAUCCUGAUCAAGAUAAAACAUUGUUGGUACGGAGACGUGUGGUGCUUUUUUGAUAAAUCAUAAUACCUCUACCUGCAAGGGUAAGCAAAACAACAAAGAAAAACUGUCACUUUACGCUGAUUGCAUCAAUUGAAGCUCCACUGUGGCGCACGUCCAUUCAUCAUCCGGUUGCUUCAUCAACAUGAGAUGACAUGACAGCGGCGGUUGGGACAGCCCUUUUUUCUCUGUUCGAGUUCGCUCUAUUCCAUAGAUCUACGCAUGGACAAACUAAACGAAGGUUUCCACCAAGGUAGAUUUGUAUGAGGUGGUUCGAUCUCAGCCGUCCUUAAGACAGUACAAGUUGGGGUUUUGGAUCAGUGAUGAUCUGAUUCAGUGAACUUUACGAAUGACUUUGAUUCGAUGAACUAAAUAAUGGGGCAGUGCCCCACCUUAUAAAAUCCCACCCUGGCUUCCACCAACUAAAAAAAAAAGAGAAGAAAACUAAGAAAAGAGAGUGUGACAGGGGGAAGAAGUGGCAAAAGUUUUCAACUUUAUUUCGU
Molecule: long non-coding RNA, 626 nt
Filed under: Drosophila guanche
Lineage: Eukaryota; Metazoa; Arthropoda; Insecta; Diptera; Drosophilidae
Source: RNAcentral